UGGGAAUUUUGGACAAUGGGCGCAAGCCUGAUCCAGCCAUGCCGCGUGCGGGAAGAAGGCCUUCGGGUUGUAAACCGCUUUUGUCAGGGAAGAAAUCUUCUGAGUUAAUACCUCGGGAGGAUGACGGUACCUGAAGAAUAAGCACCGGCUAACUACGUGCCAGCAGCCGCGGUAAUACGUAGGGUGCAAGCGUUAAUCGGAAUUACUGGGCGUAAAGCGUGCGCAGGCGGUUUUGUAAGACAGAGGUGAAAUCCCCGGGCUCAACCUGGGAACUGCCUUUGUGACUGCAAGGCUUGAGUGCGGCAGAGGGGGAUGGAAUUCCGCGUGUAGCAGUGAAAUGCAUAGAUAUGCGGAGGAACACCGAUGGCGAAGGCAAUCCCCUGGGCCUGCACUGACGCUCAUGCACGAAAGCGUGGGGAGCAAACAGGAUUAGAUACCCUGGUAGUCCACGCCCUAAACGAUGUCAACUGGUUGUUGGGAAGGUUCCUUCUCAGUAACGUAGCUAACGCGUGAAGUUGACCGCCUGGGGAGUACGGCCGCAAGGUUGAAACUUAAAUGAAUUGACGGGGUCAUAGCUGUUUCCUG
RNAcentral lists this ribosomal RNA (585 nucleotides) under uncultured bacterium. Its description in RNAcentral is "partial 16S ribosomal RNA". It matches the Rfam family "Bacterial small subunit ribosomal RNA", at positions 356 to 1376 of the family's 1533-position model. The record is from RNAcentral.